AUUCUGGUUGAUCCUGCCAGAGGUCACUGCUAUCGGGGUUGCAUUAAGCCAUGCGAGUCGAGGGGGUUCAGACCCUCGGCGGACUGCUCAGUAACACGUGGAUAACCUGACCUGUGGUGGAGGAUAACCCCGGGAAACUGGGGAUAAUACUCCAUAAGUUACGAAAUCUGGAAUGAUUUGUAGCUCAAAGCUCCGGCGCCACAGGAUGGAUCUGCGGCCGAUUAGGUAGUAGUUGGGGUAGAGGCCCAACUAGCCUGUAAUCGGUACGGGUUGUGGGAGCAAGAGCCCGGAGAUGGAAUCUGAGACACGAUUCCAGGCCCUACGGGGCGCAGCAGGCGCGAAAACUUUACAAUGCAGGAAACUGUGAUAAGGGAACCCCGAGUGCCCGUACACGCGGGCUGUCUGGGUGUUUAAAAUGCACCCAAAGAAAGGGCCGGGCAAGACCGGUGCCAGCCGCCGCGGUAAUACCGGCGGCUCGAGUGGUGACCACUUUUAUUGGGCUUAAAGCGUUCGUAGCUGGACAGUUAAGUCUCUUGGGAAAUCCGUCGGCUCAACCGACCGGCGUCUAAGAGAUACUGGCAGUCUUGGGACCCGGAGAGGUAAGAGGUACUCCCGGGGUAGGAGUGAAAUCCUGUGAUCCCCGGGGGACCACCCGUUGCCAAGGCGUCUUACCAGAACGGCUCCCACAGUUAGGAACGAAAGCUGGGGGAGCGAACCGGAUUAGAUACCCGGGUAGUCCCAGCCGUAAACGAUGCGCGUUAGGUGUACCGGCGACCACGAGUUGCCGGGGUGCCGAAGGGAAACCGUGAAACGUGCCGCCUGGGAAGUACGGUCGCAAGGCUGAAACUUAAAGGAAUUGGCGGGGGAGCACUACAACGGGUGGAGCCUGCGGUUUAAUUGGAGUCAAC
RNAcentral lists this ribosomal RNA (908 nucleotides) under uncultured archaeon ACE4_A. Its description in RNAcentral is "bacterial SSU rRNA". It matches the Rfam family "Archaeal small subunit ribosomal RNA", at positions 1 to 916 of the family's 1478-position model. The record is from RNAcentral. Lineage: Archaea; Methanobacteriati; Methanobacteriota; Methanomicrobia; Methanomicrobiales; Methanomicrobiaceae.